UACGUAGGGGGCGAGCGUUGUCCGGAAUUAUUGGGCGUAAAGAGCGUGUAGGCGGUUCGGUAAGUCUGCCGUGAAAACCUGAGGCUCAACCUCGGGCGUGCGGUGGAUACUGCCGGGCUAGAGGACGGUAGAGGCGAGUGGAAUUCCCGGUGUAGCGGUGAAAUGCGCAGAUAUCGAGAGGAACACCAGUAGCGAAGGCGGCUCGCUGGGCCGUGCCUGACGCUGAGACGCGAAAGCUAGGGGAGCGAACAGG
Molecule: ribosomal RNA, 253 nt
Filed under: uncultured bacterium
Lineage: Bacteria
Description: partial 16S ribosomal RNA
Rfam family: Bacterial small subunit ribosomal RNA
Source: RNAcentral